RNAcentral lists this RNase P RNA (303 nucleotides) under Halobacteriovorax sp. RNAcentral's name for it is "RNase P RNA component class A". It matches the Rfam family "Bacterial RNase P class A". Rfam says of the family: Ribonuclease P (RNase P) is a ubiquitous endoribonuclease, found in archaea, bacteria and eukarya as well as chloroplasts and mitochondria. Its best characterised activity is the generation of mature 5'-ends of tRNAs by cleaving the 5'-leader elements of precursor-tRNAs. The record is from RNAcentral. Lineage: Bacteria; Pseudomonadati; Bdellovibrionota; Bacteriovoracia; Bacteriovoracales; Halobacteriovoraceae.
GGAGAAAAGUAGAUCAUCGCUGGCGACUUCGGUCACGGGAGGAAAGUCCGGACACCAUACAGCAACGUAGCGGGUAAUGCCCGUCCAUCGCGAGAUGAGGACAAGUGCAACAGAAAGGAUGUAUAGGCGCUUAGGCGUGCUAUAGUGAAAUCAGGUAAACUCUACGUGGUGCAAAUCCAAAUAGGCUUGCGCUUAGGGCAGCUGGUCCAAGCAAGCGGGUAGGAUGCUCGAGGCCAUGGGUAAUCAUGGCCCUAGACGAAUGAUGAUCCAAGACAGAAUCCGGCUUAACGCUUCUCUUCUUUU